RNAcentral lists this ribosomal RNA (306 nucleotides) under uncultured Bacteroidales bacterium. Its description in RNAcentral is "partial 16S ribosomal RNA". The record is from RNAcentral. Lineage: Bacteria; Pseudomonadati; Bacteroidota; Bacteroidia; Bacteroidales.
GGAGUCUGGGCCGUGUCUCAGUCCCAAUGUGGCCGUUUAACCUCUCAGUCCGGCUACUGAUCGUCGGCUUGGUGGGCCGUUACCUCACCAACUACCUAAUCAGACGCGAGCUCAUCUUCCGGCAAUAAAUCUUUGAUAACAAAGUCAUGCGGCUUCGUUAUGUUAUGCGGUAUUAACAUCCGUUUCCAAAUGGUAUCCCACACCGAAAGGCAGAUUGCUCACGUGUUACUCACCCGUCCGCCACUAGCUUGAGAGUGCAAGCACUCUUUCGCUCGUUCGACUUGCAUGUGUUAAGCGUGCCGCCAG